UUGUGCUUGUGAGGCAGGCAGUGGAACCACUGAGCUAAAUCCCUGGCCCUCUAUUUUUUUUUUAAUAGAUCUGAUCACGUUAUAGAACAUUGCACAAUUUAAUUUUUGUUAUGUCUCUUGCUCUCCCACUCCCAGGAUGAACAAGGAUUUUUACCUUCUUUGCUUGUGAUGUACCCUAAGUGCCCUAAAGAAGGUGAUACCUUUCUACUCAGUCUUCAAGGAACUAGGAUGUCUUCAGCUGAUGCAGUCCUGCCCUGCAGUGUCACAGCAUCAUGGCACCAUUGAAGUCUCAGCUGUGACUGGAGGCAAAAAUGGAGUUGUCUCGACAUGCCAUAGCUAGCUUGUAGUCAGGAAAACUAUGCCUGAUCAUAAUUUAAUUGUGAAACGAUUUUUCCUCUAAAUUAUGUAGAAUUGCUCCUGACACAUGAGGAUGGGCCAUAAGCCAACAGGGCUGAGGUCUGCUUGAGGAGAUAAGAAUGCAGGCACUCACAGAGGGGUGACCAUGUAAGGCGCAGGCAGAAGGUGGCCAUCACCAAGCCUUUGAUGGGGUCACCGAGGAAGCAACCCGCUGACACCUUGACCUUUGACCCCCAGCCCCCAGAAUCACAAGAAAAUCGAUUUCUGUCAUUUAAGGCACCCAGUCUGUACUCCCUGGUUGUGGCAGCCUGAGCAGACUAACACAUCAUGUCUGUCUAGCUCUGUCUGAAGAGUUUUGUGUAAGUCACUUUGUUUGAUCCUAACCACAACCCCAAGAGACAGGUACUCAUUUCUGACAUGCAGAAACUGGGCUCUCGGAAGUGAUGGCAGAGGGCCUAGGGAAGGCUAGAUCUUGGGGUCCCCUAGCCCCAUGAGGGGCACUGUGGCUGCCUGACAUGCCAGCCCCCGCCUCUAUCUGUAGCUUGUGGAAAAUCAGACCUGUCCUCCAUCUGUCCCCCUCCCUCGCCCUUAAGCAAGCCCUAGCUGGACCCCUCUGUUCCCCAGGGACAAUGGUGUACCCUACACUUCUGUGCAAAUCCCGUGACAUGACAUGCUGCUUCGCAUUACCUGGGGGAACCAAUCUCUAAUUGCAGACACAGAGGCAAGGGGAAUAACAGAUGGAGUAAGACAUCUUUGGGUGGGAAGCAUUCCCUCAGCGUCCCUCAGAGCAUUCAGCACCCACGCACUGAGCUGCAGGCUGUGGGAGGCCCUUGGUUCUUCAGCUACCAUUGCCAGGCAAGACCACAGUAGUGGCUGAUAUCUACUGGGGCCCUACUAUGUGCCAGGCCCUGCCCCUCGUGCCUCCCACAGUUCUUUGUUUAGUGGUCUCCUCAGCCCUGCAGGAUGGUCAGUGAUAUCAUCACCAUUUUACAGAUGGGGAAACUGAGGCUUAGAGCGCUCCAGGGUGAGGCUGGGGUCCCGUCUCACUCUAGAGCUGGCUCUCUUAACCACCAACUGACUGGUUGCCCACCCCGCCCUGUGCUGCCCUAAGCUGUGGUUGGCAGGCCGGUUCCCCAAACCUGCUGGGCUGGGCAGAGAAUCAGGAAGGAAGCUCGGGGGUAAGAGGAUGGAAACUGCAAACCAGUGUGAUAAAGAUGUGAACUGUUGCUCCUGCCUGCCUUCCUCUUGCCACCCACGGCCUCUGCCUCAGAGCUGACAGUGCCCCCUGCAUUGGAGUCCUUCCCUGUGGGUCCGGCUGGGGCUCAUCAGCCAGUUUCUCUUCACGGCAUGGGGAGGGGCCAGUGCCACCAGCUCUGUCAUCCUUGGCGGUGCCCACUAGAGGAGGGACAGGCACUCUCCGGGGGCUGGGACUGCCCUCGCCCUCCAGAGAGGAUCAAGGGGAGCCUAGGGACAAACCCAAAGCCAGGGCCCGAGGGAGGUCGGUCGGGGCAGGAAGCUGCAGCGGCUCUUCCCUGCAGAGAGCUCUCAGGGGAUGGGCCUCACUCAUCCUUUGCAGUGACAGUGACAGUGACAGUGACAGCAUGGGGCCAUUUCCCUUAGUGCUGAGGGAGCCCGCGGACAGCUGUGCACGCUCUGCCUCUGGAGCCCUGCUGGGGCCCCUUUGCUCCCCGAGGCUGCAGGGUGGCUGUGUUUGCAGCUCGCAACCUUGGCGUCCUGUGUGCCCUCUGCGUGGGGUGAGCGGCAGGGGCUGGAGAGCUAAGUCUGCUCAGGGCCUGGCUCUGCUCUGGUCCCCGGGCUGCAGGCCGGAAGUUACUUGAUAGCGUGAAGGCGAUGGUGUGCCAACUGCCGGGACCCCGAGGCAGAGGCACCAGGGCGCUUGGUGGGAGCCUGGUGGGCAGGGCAAGGCUGCACAUGGCCACGCCUGCUUGCCCAGAACUGAGGAAGCAGCUGGGCCCCAGUUCCGGGUGCUCCACACAGAUGCCCACAUAGGCCACUGCUGACUGCACAUCCGGGGCCUCUCAAGCUGUGGUCCCAGGGGCCGGGCAGGGCCCCUGCUGAUGGAGGAAGGCCAUGGGUGGGGGACAUGGCUGAGCCUCCUGGUGAUGCUCUUGCCUCCUGACCAUGACUUCUCCUACUCGGGAGCUCUUGUUUAGAACUGUUGGCAGAACUGCCUUCCCUUCUGGUCCCCUCAUACCCUGCAGCCACCUAAGUGCUUCAUGUCUUCACUUAUUAGAUGCCUAUCAUUUUCCCACUUCCUAUUUUCUAGAUGACUCUCCAGUUCUACAAAUGAGAACCUGCUGUGUUCUGACAAGAUGCUUUUUGACUUCCCCAGAGAGCGGUGACACAUUCCUCUGGUCUCAGCAGGCAUCUCUGUCCUUACAGCUGAAAGAAAGGCCAGAAGGAAGGGUCUGGGGCUUGACAGGACUUGCCGGUACCAGCAUGGCUAUGUGCGGCUGCUGGGGUGUGGAAGAGCGGCAGAGAGAGGGGACCCAGGGAGCAGGUGGGCAGGGGAGUCCCAGGAUGGCAACAGAGGCUGGUGACGCUGGGGACGGCCAUGCCAGGGCAGGCAGAGGUGUGCUCAGUGGGAACCGGAGUGACAGUCAGGCUGAGGGGCUUCGGUUACCCGGCCUGUGGUGAGCGUCCCGGCACAUAGCUGGGACCCCCUGCACUCAGGCAGAAGGACACUGUUUGCUCCUCUUCAAGACUGUUCCAGGGGCCACAGGGAGCCUGGGAGGAAGCAGGAGGCCUGUGUCUGGGUCAGGGUGAGGCCAGAGACCGGACAGGAGGACAGGGCACCUUCUUCGGGAAGAGCCUGCAGAGGGUACUGGUGUUGCAAGGGUCUCGAGGCUGUGACCGAGGCAUGUGGCACAUGGAGGGGCUGUGAGUGGAAGAAGGAAAGGAUAUUUGGAUUAUCUCCCUAUUCUGUCCCCUCUGGACUGUGUGAGAUGCCUGCGCGCUCAGACGCAGUGGCUCCUGAGGGGACAGCUGCCCCAGGCUAGAGCAGAGGCUGUCUUUCCUCUGGAGAUGAGGGAUCCUGCCCUGAGCUAGGUCUGGAAGGCUCACUGGGCCUCAUUCCUGGGCAGGAGGUCAUGGGAGAGCAAGAGACGAUCUGGGAAGAGCCGCAGUAAAAAUAUCAACAGCUGAUGGUAAUGAGGUGCUGUGAUCGCACCUCCUGCACCUCAAGCAUAAGUGAGUUGCUUGGAUGGGUUGGCACAGGGCCCAGGCCCAGAGAGACACAGCGAAGAGCAGCUGUUAUUGUGGCUGAAGAGACCUGGCAAACUGGGAAUUGGGUAGCCAACUUCCCAAAAGGAGCCAAGCUGGGUGCCCUUUAACGCCACUUUGGCCCUUCCCUGACCCCUGGCAGGCUCACCCGUGUGGGCCCGUCUUCCUGGCCAGCCUUCGGCACCAGACGCUGUGCAUGGCUCCAUCUUCAAUGCUCCCAGACCCCACAGUGGGUUAAGAUGCACUGUUCUUUCAUGUCCACCUGGCCCUUUCUAAUAGGGGACAACCAGUGACAUUAGCACCGUCCUGUGGAACCAGCAGAGGGUCAGAGAUGUCAGGCUCCCUGGGACAUGGGAGUUCCAUGGAGGCCUCUGGGGAGGUGACAGCUGCCCUGCUUCCCUGCAGGCCAUGAAACAGUAAAUGAGAUGAGAAGAGCUCCGGAGAUGGAUGCUCAUGACGGCUGCCCACCACAGUCAAUGCAUCCAACACCCUGAAGUGUGUACUGAGAAGCAACUAAGACGGUGAAUUUUAUCUCAUGUGUAUUCUACCACCAUACAUUUGUUUUCUAAACAAAGUAAACUUCAGAAUACAGGUUCCAUGCUGACCUCAGUGGCACUCGAUUCCCGACCACCGCUCUCCUCCGGGACACACCCUGUCCUCUGUCUUCUGCUCCAUGUGUCCUGGCUUUGAAGCCCUCCGAAGUACAAAGGCUUCGUCUUCCUGAUCUCCUCUGCUCGGGCCACAGCAGUGCUGACCCAGCAAAGCCAAGGCUUUCACCUGCAAGGAAGAGCACUGCAGCCCGGGCCCCUCCCAGCCCCCCAGCCUUCCCGCCCGGAACAGGCAGGAUGCCUGUGUCUCCUGAUUCUGAGAUAGCUCCUGCUGUCAGUCUGCUUGAAUGAGCUCUUUUGUCCCUGAGAAUUUUCCCAUGUCGAACAUUUAGUCUGUUGUGUUAUGGGUCAGUGAGUGAGGAAAUAAGUCUGAAUUCUUAAACAACCUUGUGAACGUAAGACAUCUGUCUGAAAGGCAGUGCAACCAUAUCUGUCCAACUGUCCUCGGCUUUCAAGACCCUUUCUUAAAAAGCAGACCAGGGCCGGGGAUUUAGCUCAGUGCACCGUGCCUGCCUCGCAAGUGCAAGGUCCUGAGUUCAAUCCCUGAUAUCAAAAAAAACCCCACCCAAAAUAAAACAAACAAACAACAACAACAACAAUAACAAUAAAGCAGACCAUUAUUUGAUGUUUUAGAUCCUAAAGAAAUAUACUUUCUUUAAAAAGUUAAAAUAUUGCACAAAUAUUGGAAGAUGAAAGUCACCCUGUACAACCAGCAUCUAAAAUUGUUAACAGUUUUAUGUAGAUGGCUCAGACAUUUUUUCUCUGUACCCAGUAACAUAGAUAUAGUACUGCUAUUAUCAUCAGUAUUCUUACUAUCAUGUUACCAUAGAUAUUGUUUGGCAACUUGGUUUUUGACAUAUCUUGCACUUCUAUCAGUAUAAGAACCUUGUUCUUUUAUAUAGUUUUUUGUUUUUUGGGUUUUUUUGUACCGGGGAUCGAACUCGGGAUCUUGCUCUUGCAAGACAGGUGGCAGAACCAUUGAGCUAAAUCCCCGGCCCCAGAUCCUUGUUCUUUUAACAGUUGUAAAAUAUUCCGUUGUGUCUAUGGAUUAUCAUUUACGUAAUGAGCUUUCUUGUGAUAAGCAUUUGAAAUCCAACCUCCUCCUUCCAUUUUUUUCUUUCUAUAAACAUGACUGCAUAUGUUCAAACAUAUUUUUGUUUGCUUGUAAGCAUGUUUAUAUGAGUAUAGGAUACAUUUCUAGAUGCAGAAAUCCUAGGUCAAAGGCAUAUGUGUUUAAAAUUUAGGAGGCAUUACCAAGUUGGCAAGGCAAGCAUAAUUAUAGUUAGUUCAGUAUGUGGAUUCCUUGAAGGUUGAAAAUGCCCCUGAGCACCUAGAAGAGAGGCCAGAACCAGCAAUGAAUAGAAAUGGGGGUGGAUUUCAUAAGAGCGUUGGGGAACUGGCUGCAAGAUUUACUUGUGAGCACCAACCCAGGAGCCGACAGAGGCACAAACUGUUGGUCUGGAAAGGACAGGAGGCACCUGUCGAAUUCCAGGUGAGCUCGGGGCCUGAGUGGUAUAGAUGGCUCUGAGACUGUCAAGCACUCACUUGUCUUGUGAAAACAGCACCUUCCUCAAAAAAAUUCCUCUUCUUCCUCAACUCCAACCACAGGGCUUAUUGGGAGGUGCCUAUGCUAUUAUUUGGUAAUAAUCAAGGAUUUGUACAUAUAAUCUCUGGCUAUUAGAAGGCUUUGCUUGAAUUUUUGGGUGGGAAGUAAGGAACGAGAGGCCUUUUUCCAGGUGAGAGGGCUGGAAACGUGUGUAUUCAGAGUCUUCUUGGAUUCUGCAUAGUGGAGGAAGACAUUCGUAACUGGAGCUGACAUCGAAUAGAAGCUGAGACAAGAGGUGGAGAAAAUUUGAGAGCCCAGGUAGCAAUCGAGGCCUUGGUUCUUGCUGUCCUUCACGGUCAGGGGCACCUAGGGGGGAAAUAUGGGUUCCUUCCCAUAUUUUUGGUAUGGGUCAAAAGUUAAGUUUCACCUGUUUUUGAGUUUCAUAGAAAUGGAAUCACAUGGUUUGUACUUGUUCGUCCUGACUCAACAGUGGGUUAAAGACAGUCAUCCAUGUUGCACAUAUCCAUGCUUUUAUUUGUACUCUAAUUGCUCCCUAAUGUUCUGACUAUCUUGGGUGUGUGCCUAGUAGAAUCUUGGGCUGCAUGGUUACUCUGUUAACCUUGGAGGAACUGCCAAACUAUGUCACUGUUUUAAGCUACUAGCAGCAAAGUUUCAGGAUUCUAGUUGCUCCAUAUCCAUGGCAGUACUUGUUGUCUUAUCUUACUGACUGUAGUCAAAAUGGGGGUGUAGUUUUGAUUGGCAUUUCCCUCAUGACUAACGAUGUUGAGCAUCUUCUCACAUGCUUCUUGGCCUCUGGUCUAGCUUCUUCAGAGAACUGCUAUCCAAUUCCUUGGCCAACUUUUAAAUUGGGUUGUUUAAACUGGAUUGUUAAUAUUUAAUAUUUAAACUAACUAUCCUGGAUACAAGGCUCUAUCACAUACAAGCUGCAGAUGUAGUAUUUUCUCCCCCUUUGGGCUGACUUUUAAAAGGUCACUUUGGCUACCAGUGUGGCAGUAGACUGAGGGGAGGGGCAGAGCUGGAAGCCGGGAGAACAGCUGGGAGGCUCAGGCAAGAAUCCCAACACAAGAAGAGUGACCAUGGGCAAACUAAGUUCUGGCUCUCUAAGGAGCAGACAGAGCCUGAGGUCAGCUCGGAAAUCUGUGCUGUUCUGGCCCUGGCUCUGGCUUAGACCCUGGCUUCUCCUCACUCCUUGGCUCUGACCCAUUUUUAUUACCUCUAGUUUUACUCACACCUUGCUUACUUCAGUUUAUGUCCACACUUGAUUUUCCCUUCUGUUUCCUUAUAUGCUAAUUCCAUCUUGCCCAACAGUGGGCAGUUGUGUGAAAUGACGCACAUUCCCUUUUGUAAUGAGUCCAAACAUGAGAAAAAAGAGCCGGUAGAUGGAGAAAUGGGGGGCUGGUGGGGACUUCUGGCCUCCCCGGACUCACAGGAGCUGGGCCAGUGCCCUUCCCCCAGCUCUGAUUUAAAACCCAGUCCCUAGGUUCCCAGUUUCCUGUGAUGCUUUAGGAACCUGGUAAAUGACUCAGAAGUGGCAAGAUACAGCAGAGAGCUCCGGGAGAAAAUCUACAGACCCCUGACAACACAGACACCCUCUUCUUUUUCAGUCUGUGGGACAUCAGCUUCUGCAUCUUGAGCUUUGGGCAUGAGUCCAACCAUGGAUGACCCAUUCUCCACUAAGGGAGUUGAGAGUCAGGGUUGCUUUGGGUACUAAAAACAAACGGAUAGAAAUAAACUUCUAAAGGAAGUAUCAGGUAGAACAUCCAGGGUUGGCACUAGCAUCAAGUGGGACUGGCAUCUGGAACACAAAGUUGAAGGAGGUAUUCACUCACCUCCCCUUCCUUCCUUUACCGUCAUCCUUGGCCUUUAAAAAAAAAAAAUCACAAAAUGCGCAACGGCUGGGAUAAAUAUAAUGCAAGAUGAUCGAGAUUUCUACCGUGAAAACAUUAACCGUUACUGAGAGACUUUAAAGGAGACCAAAGUAAGUGAAGGUCUAUAAUAUGUACACUUUGACAUAAAGUGAAAAACUAAAUGUUUCUAAGAUGUCAAUUCUUCUUAAAUUAUCCUAUAGAUUCCUACUGGGUUACUUUGUAGUAAAUUGAGAACAUGAUUCUAAAAUCUAUUUGGAAAUUCAAAUGAUUUAGAACAGCUCAGGCAACCCUGGAUAAAUACAAAUUUAGAGGACUUAUAUAACCCUAUUGCAUGAUUUACUAUAAAACAAAAGUAAUUAAGAUAGUCUGAGAGUAAUGCAAGAAUAAAUGAAUAAAUGGAUGGAAUAGAAAAGAGACUCAAGAAAGUGUUUUCACGUUUAUGGUCACCUGGAUUUAUGGCAAAGAUUCCAUGGCAAAUCAGUGAGGAAAGGAUGCUUUUUUUUAGGUAAGAGAUGCUGAAUUGAUUGAACGUUCAUAUAGAAAAAAUUAACUUUGGUCUCGACCUUACCUAGGACACAAUACUUCAUUUGAGAUGGAUCAUAGUCCUACAUGUGAAAAUUAAAACCAUGGAAUCAUAGGAGAGAAAAGAUUUUCCCCCCUCACCUGUCACAAGGUUCACAGUGGACAGUCCUGUAGCAAAAGAUGGACUAACAAAAGAAAAGCAUACAAAUUUAUUGAGCUAAAAUUUUAUGUGUCAUGGAGGCUUUCAGAAAUGAAGACCCACAGAUCCAGGGAAAAUUGGAUUUUUAUGCUUGGAUUUAAUGAUGGAAGGAGAGUUGCAUAGAAGUAUAGUUAGGUGGAAAGGAAGUGUGACCCAAUGGUAGUAAGUUGAAGGAAUUUAGCAAGGCCUGUUUGUUCAGAUUCUUUUUGGCUUUCAGGCAUAGGGCAGGACACCUGUCACAUGAGGGUUCUAUGACCCACUGUUUUGGAAGGUAAGAAAAUUUCCCUAUGCCCAUGUUUCAGGAAUUUCUCAAUUUGUUUGCUCAGUAUACCAAGGUGCCAUAGUUUGGAUAGAUUUUCCUGCAGUCUGUCAGAAUUACAUCUUGAUGGAUAAUGGUGGUUACACCACUGUAUGGACUUGUUAGACAUUUGUCCACUUACUGACAAUUCAUUCGGGUAUAUGUUUAUCUUUUAUGCUCUUUCAAUUUAUGAAU
Long non-coding RNA from Heterocephalus glaber (naked mole-rat), 8857 nucleotides. RefSeq lists it as uncharacterized. NCBI's taxonomy places the organism in Eukaryota, Metazoa, Chordata, Mammalia, Rodentia, Bathyergidae. The record is from RefSeq and is a predicted model, not a curated record.